RNAcentral lists this ribosomal RNA (440 nucleotides) under uncultured Duganella sp. Its description in RNAcentral is "bacterial SSU rRNA". It matches the Rfam family "Bacterial small subunit ribosomal RNA", at positions 358 to 790 of the family's 1533-position model. Lineage: Bacteria; Pseudomonadati; Pseudomonadota; Betaproteobacteria; Burkholderiales; Oxalobacteraceae. The record is from RNAcentral.
GGAAUUUUGGACAAUGGGCGCAAGCCUGAUCCAGCAAUGCCGCGUGAGUGAAGAAGGCCUUCGGGUUGUAAAGCUCUUUUGUCAGGGAAGAAACGGACUUUUCUAAUACAGAGGUCUAAUGACGGUACCUGAAGAAUAAGCACCGGCUAACUACGUGCCAGCAGCCGCGGUAAUACGUAGGGUGCAAGCGUUAAUCGGAAUUACUGGGCGUAAAGCGUGCGCAGGCGGUUUUGUAAGACUGUCGUGAAAUCCCCGGGCUCAACCUGGGAAUGGCGAUGGUGACUGCAAGGCUAGAGUUUGGCAGAGGGGGGUAGAAUUCCACGUGUAGCAGUGAAAUGCGUAGAUAUGUGGAGGAACACCGAUGGCGAAGGCAGCCCCCUGGGUCAAAACUGACGCUCAUGCACGAAAGCGUGGGGAGCAAACAGGAUUAGAUACCCGAG